This 10041-nucleotide long non-coding RNA is filed under the name Gossypium barbadense (sea-island cotton). RNAcentral describes it as "long non-coding RNA (GBAR_LNC021900)". The record is from RNAcentral. Lineage: Eukaryota; Viridiplantae; Streptophyta; Magnoliopsida; Malvales; Malvaceae.
GUCAUCUUAAUCUUUGCAACUCGUUAGUUUCUUCCUAUGCAGCUCUUUUCUUUCCUUUGGUAUAAAUAUUAUGUUUUUGUUUAAUUUAACACAAGGGAAUUUUUGUUGCAGACUCAGAGAUGAUGGCGGAGGCAAGAGGACCUGUUAUUUCGUGUAGAUGCAGCAAAACCGAAGACUGUCAGGGUAUUUGCGCCGUGUGCCCAAACUAUAGCUGCAUUAAAAACAUUUGUACUUGCCUUUCAAACGCACCUCCAUUUCCAUAGUCUUAGAAUCUACACACUCCAACAGUUGAAUGAAAUGGUGGGAUUUUUUUUGUGUAAUUUGAAAUAAAUUAUCAUGCAAUGGAUCUAAUAAGAAAAAAUAUUGUAAUUAGGGUAAUUUUAAUUUUCUUUUUACCCGUCUCUGCCCCUCCCCCCCUUUCCAGUAGCGAAAAGCAUGUUACAUUUAAAAUCUAUAAAAAGAGUUACAAUCUUGUUUUAAAACUAAAAGAAAUAAUAGUAAGAAGAAAAGAUAGGAGAAAAAUUAAGACACAAAAUGAUAUGAUAAUUCUUCUUUCUACUUGUAUCUCAUAAGCUUCUAUAUGGCUUCAAUCUAUAGGGCUUCAACAAUGAUAGGCUAAAAUAAUAUAAAUAGGAAUAUCAAAACUCGCAAUAAAUUGAAUGGGUAUUUCAUAAGUUGCAAGUUCCACCGUAUUCUUUUGGUGGGGACACUUUGUUAAUUUAUCAACAACACUCUGCACUAGAUGUGUAUCAAAUGGAAACGUGCUCUGUUAAAACUUUAUUAGAAAAAAUUGCAUAAGCACCUAUUAUAAUCUAAAACUUUAAAAACAUUUUCUAGGAAAACUUAGCUGGACAAUACCUUGGGUAAAGGAAAGAGUAAACAUGUUUUAGACUCCCCCUAAUUUUAAAAAUAUUGAAACAUGGUACAAAUUUUGAAACAAUUUUUUGUUGCUAAAUACUUCGUCAAAGAGAAUCAUACUAUGAAGACAUGCCUUUUUAAUUACAAUGAUAACCAUUGAGUUUCAUUGUAUACUCUAGGUUCAUUUGCCAAUAGCUCUUUUGCACAACAUAAUAUAGGUGGGGGCGAAUCAAACUUUAAAUUAAGCGACAUUAAUACAUGCAUUAAAGCCUCCAUUAAUUUCUUAUAAGUUUAUUUUUAUAUCCACAAUCAACAUUUUUCUUAUGCGGACAUGAUACCUUGCUAUUGCAUAUCACUUAAGGAAAACUGUAUAUUAAAUUUAGCCUCAUGGCUUUGGAGAUUUCUACAUCCUAUCUCUCUUUCUUACUCCGUUGCAAGGAUGUUCAUGUAGACCACCUGAUAGAUAGUUGUAUGGUUUCUUUAUUCUUAUUGAAACACAUAUCGAGUCUUUCUUGACAUCACUGUGACUUUAAUAGUCAUUACCAAUAUGGUUUGACUCUUGCAGGUUUCGAGUACAGUGGCGUGUCAUUCGGCCCAAUUAAAGGCUAUUAUUGUUGUUUCAAUUUGAGAUCGCUCUCUUCUAGUUUUUCUUCUUCUUUUCUCAUUUUGGUUUCCUACCCUUUAUAUGCUUGUUGUAGUAUUUUUCCUUAAGUUAAUUUUGGAAAUACAUAGAAUCUAUUGAAUGGAGUGCCAUUAAUCUUAUCAACAUUAUAUCUCAUCAUCUUCUUGCUUGUUUUUAGGAUCUUUAUGGCCAUGGUUAGACAAGAGUUUAUCUAUCUUGUAACACUUAUUUUGGGACAUGCAAUGUGCACAAUUUCUAUAAGUCCUGCUCUUUUACCUGUUGUGUCAAUGAGGCCAUCUUUAGGUAUUUCCCCCUCUAUUUUGUUUCAUUAGUCAAAUUGGAUGUACAGUUAUGAACUUAAAAUCAACCAAUCACUUUUUGUGUUUUUGUAACCUCUCUUUUCAGGUCUGAUAACAUCGAUCAUGAAGUUGAGCUCCUCCGUGGAUAGCCUUGGUUGUUUGUUUCCAUUUUUUCACAAUCUCUUGCAACAAAUUUUGAGAUUUUAAUUGUAUUGAUAGUUUUAUUAGCCUUGUAGCGAGCCCAAGAUACCAACUGCUCCCACCCAUGAUUUUAAAUUUUAAAUACUUUAUUUAAAUGAUUCUGAUGUUUAGAAAUUUAAAAAAUAAACUAAUUUUCUUCUAAAUUUUAUUACUUAGCGAUCCGCUACUUGGGAGCGGAAGAACUUAAACCCUAGGCCAUACAAGACUAAGAAGUCAUCUAGGUGAGAAUUAACCCAAAAUUGGUAUUGCCUAUCCAUGAACCUCUUACCUCAAGUUGGUCUGGACUGUGAGGUCGAAAGAUAAGUACUUGUUGCCAACUCAUUAGUUUAGUGGAAGAUCGAUAGAUUCUACUAGGUUAGCGGCUAAUUGAUUGAGUAGAACCAGAAAUAGGAUUUAGUUAUGACCACAAAAGCGAGCUAAUCACUCAUGCUUAGAUUUUAUUGAAUCACAUAUUAGUUUUCCAUCUUUUUAAUUUUAUGCAAGUUUAUUUCUUUUCUUAUAAAAACAAUUGUUUUUCACUUUAUGAUCAUCGUACUAUAAUUUAUUUAAGUUACUAAUUAGAUCUAUUUGCGUUUAGGUUAAUAUUAAUUUAUUACUUGUCUGCCUUGGGUACGAUCCUCGAGUACUCACCUACUUCGUUGUAAAACUAUAUUACAACCUGACUCGUAUACUUGAGGACACCGCCUCAAUUCAAUAUAUACUUUUAGCAAUAUUCACACUCUGGAUUCUAGUACCUCCGAAGGCGGUCACUUUCCGAAGUGGCGCGUAGUUUAUCUGCAAAUCAGUGGUGGCUCGUCUACAAUCCGGAGUGAUAUGUUAGACGAGUUCUGGGGAAUUCGUACGUGAGGUGUGUAGCGGAGUCGGGUAGGACUUUUCUGUUAAUUUGAAACUUCAAUGCAUUCAUAAGCACAUGCAUAUAAAAUUGUGAAUACCAAUAUAGUGAAGUGAAGCGUUUUAUGUGAAAAACCGUUAAUCUGAGGUGCCUUGUGGUUGUCUUUAAUCUCAGGAUUGCUAAUUCAUGUGCCUUAUUGGUUUGUUGUUUUAUUCUGAUUUUCUUGUGACUGAACUCACAUUGAGCUUCAUAGCUCACUGCCCUUUAGUUCCCAUCCUUGUAGAUAACCCACCAGGUUGGGAUGCGACAUAUGGAGGGCUCGAAAAAGUUUUAAUGUUAUGAAAGUAUUGUUAUGCUUAUUUUAAAAUUUAUGUUAUUUCGGAACUGUACUGUAUUAUUUAUUUUCUAGCAUUGGAUUCAUAUUUAGGUUUUGGUUUUAUAUUGCAAGCAUGACAUAUAAAUUUUUGUUUUUAAGAUGAUGAAAUAUGGAUUUCAAUUAAAUAUGCAUGAAAUAUAGAUGUUAGUAAAACUCAGGAAAAGCCAUUUUUCCGCUGAAAGGUCAUAAUUAAAUUUUGUCUAAUAACUACAAUAUAACUAAGUUCACAAUAGUUAUCACCUUUUACAAGAAAAUAUUAGUUUAAUUGUAUUUUAUAUACCCAUGAUUUGUUUUCUAAAAAUAGACAGAGUCUUUGUAAAGAUAAAAAAUGUUUUAAUGUGACUAUUUAAAAUGUUCGAUUUCUCUAGGCCAUCAUGGUGGCCGAUGUAAUCUCCCGACCUCGAGCCUACCGUCUAGGCCAAUUUGGGGAGGUUACAAUUUCAAUGCCAUAAAGUACUAAAACCAUAUUUUCAAUCAUCUUCAGCGUAGAUUAUUUCAUGUUGAUAUGAGUUGAAUUAAAAUAUUUAACUUGAACUUAUAAAUUUGCCAUAUUUAAGGGGAAAAAAGUGGUUUUACUUCAAACAAAAAGAAGAGAUAAAUUGUUACCAACUAAAUUGAUGAACAAGAACUUGAUAUGAUAUAUACGUGAAUACAAUAAAAAUACAUUAAUUGCGCUACAAUUGUGCAUAAUAUCCUUUUUAUUUAGUUAUAUUGUGUUUGUACAAAAUUAGUAAAAAUAAAAUACUAUGCAUCAAAUAUGUUCAAUUCUAAUUCUAAUUCUAAUUCUAGUUCCAAUUUGAGUUUGAACUUGAUUUGGAACACAAAAAUUGAGCAUGAUGUCAAGAAUGGGAAUCCAACUCAAGUCUUAUCAAAUAAACAAGCCUAAUUAAAUUUAGUAAAGCUACUUAAAGCAGUUUAAUCUUUAUCUCGUAUCAAGUUUAUAUUUUAAAAGUUAAACUAAAUGAAGUUAUAUUGGAGCAUUCAAUUCUCUAGGUUUCUAUGGAGAUUGAGAUUGAAUUUUUUGGCUCUGUUAAACCCCAUUAAAUAACUUUAAAUUUUUUAUUUUGAUACAAUAGUUAAUAUUAUUUCCAAACUCAUAUAACUGGUUGUGUAGGAAGGGGUCAGGUUUUUUUGUCUGCUUUCUCUCACUACUAUCUCCAAAAUUUUAAUGCUUUUAGUAUUUUAAUAUUUGAAAAUAAUUAAAUAUAUAUAUUUGACUAACAGGAAAAAUAUAAUUUAAUCUUUUCUUCUCCUAGACCACAAAUAAAAAAAGAAUUGGAACAUAUUUCCCAUUUGUUUCUAAACAGUUGGACAAAUAAUCAACUUAUUGGCAUCAUGCAUUCCAGAUUUGGUAACAUUAAUUUCCAUGACUACACUUAGAACAAAAUAAUGAUAAUUAGUAAACAAAAUCCUCAUAAAUCUUCUCAAGGAUGUUUUUCUGGUUUACUUUCCUUUUAGACAUAGUUUCAUAAGGAAAAAAAUAAAAACGUAAUAAUCUCAAAGAAUCCAAAGAAAUUAGUAUUCCUCCAUGCAACACAAAAUAAGAUACUAUAUAUAUUAAAUCCAUAAGCUAUAAAUUUCCACCAACAUUGUUAAUUAGAUAUAAAGAGAUGGCAAAGUUUUCAUUCAAUUUGUGUAUAUUUGCUGCCAUCUUAAUCUUUGCAACUCGUUAGUUUCUUCCUAUGCAGCUCUUUUAUUUCCUUUGGUAUGAAUAUUAUGUUUUUGUUUAAUUUAACACAAGGGAAUUUUUGUUGCAGACUCAGAGAUGAUGGCGGAGGCUAGAGGACCUGUUAUUUCGUGUAGAUGUAGCAAAACCGAAGACUGUCAGGGUAUUUGCACCGUGUGCCCCAACUAUAGCUGCAUUAAUAACCUUUGUACUUGCCUUUCAAACACACCUCCAUUUCCAUAGUCUUAGAAUCUACACACUCCAACAGUUGAAUGAAAUGGUGGGAUUUUUUUGUGUAAUUUGAAAUAAAUUAUCAUGCAAUGGAUCUAAUAAGAAAAAAUAUUGUAAUUAUUGUAAUUUUAAUUUUCUUUUUACCCUUCUCUACCCCUCCCCCCCUUCUAGUAGCGAAAAGUAUGUUACAUUUCAAAUAUAUAAAAAGAGUUACAAUCUUGUUUUAAAACUAAAAGAAAUAACAGUAAGAACAAAAGAUAGGAGAAAAAUUAAGACACAAAAUGAGAUGAUAAUUCUUCUUUCUACUUGUAUCUCAUAAGCUUGUAUAUGGCUUCAAUCUAUAGGGCUUCAACAAUGAUAGGCUAAAAAUAAUAUAAAUAGGAAUAUCAAAACUCGCAAUAAAUUGAAUGGGUAUUUCAUAAGUUUCAAGUUCCACCGUAUUAUUUUGGUGGGGACACUUUGUUAAUUUAUUAACAACACUAUGCACUAGAUGUGUAUCAAAUGGAAACGUGCUCUGUUAAAACUUUAUUAGAAAAAAUUGCAUAAGCACCUAUUAUAAGCUAAAACAUUAAAAACAUUUUCUAGGAAAACUUAGCUGGACAAUACCUUGGGUAAAGGAAAGAGUAAACAUGUUUUAGACUCCCCCUAAUUUUAAAAAUAUUGAAACAUGGUACAAAUUUUGAAACAAUUUUUUGUUGCUAAAUACUUCGUCAAAGAGAAUCAUACUAUGAAGACAUGCCUUUUUAAUUACAAUGAUAACCAUUGAGUUUCAUUGUAUACUCUAGGUUCAUUUGCCAAUAACUCUUUUGCACAACAUAAUAUAGGUGGGGGCGAAUCAAAAUUUAAAUAAAGUAACAUUAAUACAUGCAUUAAAGCCUCCAUUAAUUUCUUAUAAGUUUAUUUUUAUAUCCACAAUCAACAUUUUUCUUAUGCGGACAUGAUACCUUGCUAUUGCAUAUGACUUAAGGAAAACUGUAUAUUAAAUUUAGCGUCCUGGCUUUGGAGAUUUCUACAUCCUAUCUCUCUUUCUUACUCCGUUGCAAGGAUGUUCAUGUAAGCCACCUAAUAGAUAAUUGUAUGGUUUCUUUAUUCUUAUAGAAACACAUAUCGAGUCUUUCUUGACAUCACUGUGACUUUAAUAGUCAUUACCAAUAUGGUUUGACUCUUGCAGGUUUUGAGUACAUUGGCGUGUCAUUCGGCCCAAUUAAGGGCUAUUAUUGUUGUUUCAAUUUGAGAUCUCUCUCUUCUAGUUUUUCUUCUUCUUUUCUCAUUUUGGUUUCCUACCCUUUAUAUGCUUGUUGUAGUAUUUUUCCUUAAGUUAAUUUUGGAAAUACAUAGAAUCUAUUGAAUGGAGUGCCAUUAAUCUUACCAACAUUAUAUCUCAUCAUCUUCUUGCUUGUUUUUAGGAUCUUUAUGGCCAUGGUUAGACAAGAGUUUAUCUAUCUUGUAAAAGUUAUUUUGGGAGAUGUAACGUGCACAUUUUCUAUAAGUCCUACACUUUUACCUGUUGUGUCAAUGAGGCCAUCUUAAGGUAUUUCCCCCUCUAUUUAUUUCAUUAGUCAAAUUGGAUGUACUUUUAUGAACUUAAAAUCAAACAAUCACUUUUUGCUUUUUUGUAACCUCUCUUUUCAGGUCUGAUAACAUCGAUCAUGAAGUUGAGCUCCUCCGUGGAUAGCCUUGGUUGUUUGUUUCCAUUUAUUCACAAUCUGUUGCAACAAAUUUUGACAUUUUAACUGUAGUGAUAGUUUUAUUAGCCUUGUAGCGAGCCCAAGAUACCAACUGCUCCCACCCAUGAUUUUGAAUUUUAAAUACUUUAUUAAAAUGAUUUUGAUGUUUAGAAAUUUAAAAAUAAACUAAUCUUCUUCGAAAUUUUAUUACUUAGCGAUCAGCUGCUUGGGAUAGAAAGAACUUAAAUCCUAGGCCUGACAAACCUAGGAAGUCAUCUAGGUGGGAAUUAACCCAAAAUUGGUAUUUCCUAUCCAUGAACCUCUUACCUCAAGUUGGUCUGGACUGUGAGGUCGAAAGAUAAGUAGUUGUUGUCAACUCAUUAGUUUAGUGGAAGAUCAAGAGAUCUUACUAGGUUAGAAGAUAAUUGAUUGAGUAGAACCUAAAACAGGAUUUAGUUACGAUCACUGAAGUGAGCUAAUCACUCAUGCUUAGAUUUUAUUGAAUCACAUAUUAGCUCUCCAUCUUUUUUAUUUUAUGCAAGUUUAUUUCUUUUCUUAUAAAAACAAUUGUUUUUCACUUUAUGAUCAUCGUACUAUAAUUUAUUUAAGUUACUAAUUAGAUCUAUUUGCGUUUAGGUUAACAUUAAUUUAUUACUUGUCUGCCUUGGGUACGAUCCUCGAGUACUCACCUACUUCGUUGUAAAACUAUAUUACAACCUGACUCGUAUACUUGAGGACACCGCCUCAAUUCAAUAUAUACUUUUAGCAAUAUUCACACUCUGGAUUCUAGUACCUCCGAAAGCGGUCACUUUCCAAAGUGGCGCGUAGUUUAUCUGCAAAUCAGUGGUGGCUCGUCUACAAUCCGGAGUGAUAUGUUAGACGAGUUCUGGGGAAUUCGUACGUGAGGUGUGUAGCGGAGUUGGGUAGGACUUUUCUGUUAAUUUGAAACUUCAAUGCAUUCAUAAGCACGUGCAUAUAAAAUUGUGAAUACCAAUAUAGUGAAGUGAAGCGUUUUAUGUGAAAAACCGUUAAUCUGAGGUGCCUUGUGGUUGUCUUUAAUCUCAGGAUUGCUAAUUCAUGUGCCUUAUUGGUUUGUUGUUUUAUUCUGAUUUUCUUGUGACUGAACUCACAUUGAGCUUCAUAGCUCACUGCCCUUUAGUUCCCAUCCUUGUAGAUAACCCACCAGGUUGGGAUGCGACAUAUGGAGGGCUCGAAAAAGUUUUAAUGUUAUGAAAGUAUUGUUAUGCUUAUUUUAAAAUUUAUGUUAUUUCGGAACUGUACUGUAUUAUUUAUUUUCUGGCAUUGGAUUCAUAUUUAGGUUUUGGUUUUAUAUUGCAAGCAUGACAUAUAAAUUUUUGUUUUUAAGAUGAUGAAAUAUGGAUUUCAAUUAAAUAUGCAUGAAAUAUAGAUGUUAGUAAAACUCAGGAAAAGCCAUUUUUCCGCUGAAAGGUCAUAAUUAAAUUUUGUCUAAUAACUACAAUAUAACUAAGUUCACAAUAGUUAUCACCUUUUACAUGAAAAAUAUUAGUUUAAUUGUAUUUUAUAUACCCAUGAUUUGUUUUCUAAAAAUAGACACAGUCUUUGUAAGGAUAAAAAAAUGUUUUAAUGUGACUAUUUAAAAUCUUCGAUUGCACUAGGCCAUCACGGUGGCCGAUGUAAUCUCCCGAACUUGGGCCUACCGUCUAGGCCAAUUUGGGGAGGUUACAAUUUCAAUGCCAUAAAGUACUAAAACCAUAUUUUCAAUCAUCUUCAGCAUAGAUUAUUUCAUGUUGAUAUGAGUUGAAUUAAAAUAUUUAAUUUGAACUUAUAAAUUUGCCAUAUUUAAGGGGGAAAAAAGUGGUUUUACUUCAAACAAAAAGAAGAGAUAAAUUGUUACCAACUAAAUUGAUGAACAAGAACUUGAUAUGAUAUAUACGUGAAUACAAUAAAAAUACAUUAAUUGCGCUACAAUUGUGUAUAAUAUCCUUUUUAUUUAGUUAUAUUGUGUUUGUACAAAAAAAAUAUGUUCAAUUCUAAUUCUAAUUCUAAUUCUAAUUCUAAUUCUAAUUCUAAUUCUAAUUCCAGUUCCAAUUUGAGUUUGAACUUGAUUUGGAACACAAAAAUUGAGCAUGAUGCCAAGUUUGAGAAUCGAACUCAAGUCUUAUCAAAUAAACAAGCCUAAUUAAAUUUAGUAAAGCUAAUUAAAGCAGUUUAAUCUUUAUCUCGUAUCAAGUUUAUAUUUUAAAAGUUAAACUCACUGAAGUUAUAUUGGAGCAUUCAAUUCUCUAGGUUUCUAUGGAGAUUGAGAUUGAAUUUCUUGGCUCAGUUCAACCCCAUUAAAUAACUUUAAAUUUUUUAUUUUGAUACAAUAGUUAAUAUUAUUUCCAAACUCAUAUAACUAGUUGUGUAGGAAGGGGUCAGGUUUUUUUGUCUGCUUUCUCUCUCUACUAUCUCCAAAAUUUUAAUGCUUUUAGUAUUUUAAUAUUUGAAAAUUAUUAAAAAAAAUUUGUCUAGCAAGAAAUAUAUAAUUUAAUCUUUUCUUCUUCUAGACCACAAAUAAAAAAAAUUGGAACAUAUUUUCCAUUUGUUUCUAAACGGUUGGACUAAUAAUCAACUUAUUGGCAUCAUGCAUUCCAGAUUUGGUAACAUUAAUUUCCAUGACUACACUUAGAACAAAAUAAUGAUAAUUAGUAAACAAAAUCCCCAUCAAUCUUCUCAAGGAUGUUUUGCUGAUUUACUUUCCUUUUAGACAUAGUUUCAUAAGGAAAAAAAUAAAAACGUAAUAAUCUCAAAGAAUCCAAAGAAAUUAGUAUUCCUCCAUGCAACACAAAAUAAGAUACUAUAUAUAUUAAAUCCAUAAGCUAUAAAUUUCCACCAACAUAGUUAAUUAGAUAUAAAGAGAUGGCAAUGUUUUCAUUCAAUUUGUUUAUAUUUGCUGUCAUCUUAAUCUUUGCAACUCGUUAGUUUCUUCCUAUGCAGCUCUUUUCUUUCCUUUGGUAUGAAUAUUAUGUUUUUGUUUAAUUUAACACAAGGGAAUUUUUGUUGCAGACUCAGAGAUGAUGGCGGAGGCAAGAGGACCUGUUAUUUCGUGUAGAUGCAGCAAAACCGAAGACUGUCAGGGUAUUUGCACCGUGUGCCCCAACUAUAGCUGCAUUAAUAACCUUUGUACUUGCCUUUCAAACGCACCUCCAUUUCCAUAGUCUUAGAAUCUACACACUCCAACAGUUGAAUGAAAUGGUGGGAUUUUUUUGUGUAAUUUGAAAUAAAUUAUCAUGCAAUGGAUCUAAUAAGAAAAAAUUUCUUUUGAUAA